GUUGAAAGGUCAACUGGAGCAAAAUGGCGACCAUCAGAGGAAAGGUUUUGCUGAAGAACAUAAAAAGCAUCGUUGUACAGUUUUGUCCGUUUGAAUCUAAUGGAGUUCUUAGCUGUGGUUGGAAGUGAAAAAGUAAGAUCAACAAACAUGAACUGCGAGGUUAGGACAGAAGUAAAACAUGACGGCUCUGACCCCUUUGUUAACAUUACAUUCACGGAUGGAGAGAGGUUACUGAUGAAGGGC
This is a long non-coding RNA of Paramormyrops kingsleyae, 243 nucleotides long. RefSeq lists it as uncharacterized. The record is from RefSeq and is a predicted model, not a curated record. Lineage: Eukaryota; Metazoa; Chordata; Actinopteri; Osteoglossiformes; Mormyridae.